RNAcentral lists this ribosomal RNA (402 nucleotides) under uncultured Phenylobacterium sp. RNAcentral describes it as "bacterial SSU rRNA". It matches the Rfam family "Bacterial small subunit ribosomal RNA", at positions 355 to 774 of the family's 1533-position model. Lineage: Bacteria; Pseudomonadati; Pseudomonadota; Alphaproteobacteria; Caulobacterales; Caulobacteraceae. The record is from RNAcentral.
UGGGGAAUCUUGCGCAAUGGGCGAAAGCCUGACGCAGCCAUGCCGCGUGGAUGAUGAAGGUCUUAGGAUUGUAAAAUCCUUUCACCGGGGACGAUAAUGACGGUACCCGGAGAAGAAGCCCCGGCUAACUUCGUGCCAGCAGCCGCGGUAAUACGAAGGGGGCUAGCGUUGCUCGGAAUUACUGGGCGUAAAGGGCGCGUAGGCGGACAGUUAAGUUGGGGGUGAAAGCCCGGGGCUCAACCUCGGAAUUGCCUUCAAUACUGGCUGUCUUGAGUACGGGAGAGGUGAGUGGAACUCCGAGUGUAGAGGUGAAAUUCGUAGAUAUUCGGAAGAACACCAGUGGUGAAGGCGACUCACUGGCCCGUUACUGACGCUGAGGCGCGAAAGCGUGGGGAGCAAACA